UACGGAGGGGGCUAGCGUUGUUCGGAAUUACUGGGCGUAAAGCGCGCGUAGGCGGCUUUUGUAAGUUAGAGGUGAAAGCCCGGAGCUCAAACUCCGGAACUGCCUUUAACGACUGCAUCGCUAGGAAUUGUGGAGAGGUAAGUGGAAUUCCGAGGUGUAGAGGUGGAAAUUCGUGAGAUAUUCGGAAGAACACCAGUGGCGAAGGCGGAACUUACUGGACACAGUAUUGACGCUGAGGUGCGAAAGCGAUGGGGAGCAAACAGGG
Molecule: ribosomal RNA, 265 nt
Filed under: uncultured bacterium
Lineage: Bacteria
Description: partial 16S ribosomal RNA
Rfam family: Bacterial small subunit ribosomal RNA
Source: RNAcentral